Molecule: ribosomal RNA, 498 nt
Filed under: uncultured bacterium
Lineage: Bacteria
Description: partial 16S ribosomal RNA
Rfam family: Bacterial small subunit ribosomal RNA
Source: RNAcentral
GACGAACGCUGGCGGCGUGCCUAAUACAUGCAAGUCGAGCGGACGAAUCGAAAGCUUGCUUUUGAUUCGUUAGCGGCGGACGGGUGAGUAACACGUGGGCAACCUGCCCUGUAGACGGGGAUAACACCGAGAAAUCGGUGCUAAUACCGGAUAACACGAAAUGUCGCAUGACGUUUCGUUGAAAGACGGCGCAAGCUGUCGCUACAGGAUGGGCCCGCGGCGCAUUAGCUAGUUGGUGUGGUAACGGCUCACCAAGGCGACGAUGCGUAGCCGACCUGAGAGGGUGAUCGGCCACACUGGGACUGAGACACGGCCCAGACUCCUGCGGGAGGCAGCAGUAGGGAAUCUUCCGCAAUGGACGAAAGUCUGACGGAGCAACGCCGCGUGAGCGAAGAAGGCCUUCGGGUCGUAAAGCUCUGUUGUUAGGGAAGAACAAGUAACGCAGUAACUGGCGUUACCGUGACGGUACCUAACGAGAAAGCCACGGCUAACUACGUG